RNAcentral lists this ribosomal RNA (468 nucleotides) under uncultured bacterium. Its description in RNAcentral is "partial 16S ribosomal RNA". It matches the Rfam family "Bacterial small subunit ribosomal RNA", at positions 28 to 507 of the family's 1533-position model. The record is from RNAcentral.
GACGAACGCUGGCGGCGUGCUUAACACAUGCAAGUCGAACGGAAAGGCCCUGCUUUUGUGGGGUGCUCGAGUGGCGAACGGGUGAGUAACACGUGAGUAACCUGCCCUUGACUUUGGGAUAACUUCGGGAAACUGGGGCUAAUACCGGAUAGGAGCUCCUGCUGCAUGGUGGGGGUUGGAAAGUUUCGGCGGUUGGGGAUGGACUCGCGGCUUAUCAGCUUGUUGGUGGGGUAGUGGCUUACCAAGGCUUUGACGGGUAGCCGGCCUGAGAGGGUGACCGGCCUCAUUGGGACUGAGGUACGGCCCAGACUCCUACGGGAGGCAGCAGUGGGGAAUAUUGCACGAUGGGCGGAAGCCUGAUGCAGCAACGCCGCGUGCGGGAUGACGGCCUUCGGGUUGUAAACCGCUUUCGCCUGUGACGAAGCGUGAGUGACGGUAAUGGGUAAAGAAGCACCGGCUAACUACGUG